GUGAACGCUGGCGGUAGGCCUAACACAUGCAAGUCGAACGGCAGCACAGUAAGAGCUUGCUCUUACGGGUGGCGAGUGGCGGACGGGUGAGGAAUACAUCGGAAUCUACUUUUUCGUGGGGGAUAACGUAGGGAAACUUACGCUAAUACCGCAUACGACCUACGGGUGAAAGCAGGGGAUCUUCGGACCUUGCGCGAUUGAAUGAGCCGAUGUCGGAUUAGCUAGUUGGCGGGGUAAAGGCCCACCAAGGCGACGAUCCGUAGCUGGUCUGAGAGGAUGAUCAGCCACACUGGAACUGAGACACGGUCCAGACUCCUACGGGAGGCAGCAGUGGGGAAUAUUGGACAAUGGGCGCAAGCCUGAUCCAGCCAUACCGCGUGGGUGAAGAAGGCCUUCGGGUUGAAAAGCCCUUUUGUUGGGAAAGAAAAGCAGCAGGUUAAUACCCCGCUGUUCUGACGGUACCCAAAGAAUAAGCACCGGCUAACUUCGUG
Molecule: ribosomal RNA, 491 nt
Filed under: uncultured bacterium
Lineage: Bacteria
Description: partial 16S ribosomal RNA
Rfam family: Bacterial small subunit ribosomal RNA
Source: RNAcentral